This is a long non-coding RNA of Oryzias melastigma (Indian medaka), 1778 nucleotides long. RefSeq lists it as uncharacterized. NCBI's taxonomy places the organism in Eukaryota, Metazoa, Chordata, Actinopteri, Beloniformes, Adrianichthyidae. The transcript has 3 exons. The record is from RefSeq and is a predicted model, not a curated record.
AUGUUUACUAUGUACUAAAUCUAUUUAUAUUCAUUUUUCAAAAAUAACUUAUGUCACAUAACAUGUUGGUUGUUCAUGCGUUUUUUUUUUUUUUUUUUUUUUUUUUAGCUAGGUCGGUAUUUCUACCACUAUUUCUAAAGUGCUAAUGCUGUCGAGUGAAAAACUAGCUUAAAAUGCGCGCCAAUUCGGUUCAACUCGAAAUUAUUAUUAAAUUUGCCUUAUAAUUGUUAUGAAUGUAUAGUUUUAAUUUAAUGAAUAUAAUAGAAAUACUCGGAAUUAGUUGUGGUUUGAGGAAUAUAAUUCCCAUAUUUGUAAAAUGGCGGUUAAAAUCAAAUAUAACUGAAUGUGCAGACAGCACAUCAUCAGAGUAUUUUUUUUUACUUAAAUAUUUCAAACAAACUCAUAGUUUAUCCAUACUUUUACUUGGUAUUCUUGCUCUUUCUGCUAUGACAGACUGCAGUAGGGUGGUUAAUUCAAUUAUUUUUACUAACUUAAGUUUAAGUGACUAAUUAUUUUACGAAGUUGUGCCUGUCAUCAGGGAAUUGUGGGAUGCGAUGUUGCGAUUCCUGUCAUCUGCGUUUUGAUUGGUUGGAUUAGUUCCGGUUCUUGUCUUGCUUUGAGUUGUCGGAAGAAGCAUUGAGUGAUGGCAGAAACGUUUGUUCUUCGGUUUCUGGCGCUAAUGUUUGGAUAUUGAGUCAGUGAACUAACGUGAGUGCCUGUUUAGUUUAAUAUCAUUUGUGGUGGCCUUUAAUUUCCAUGUUAGCGGGGGAGCACUGUAGCCGAGUUAGCCCGCCGUCGUUCUCCUGCGGAAAUGCGCCUCGUUAAACUGAUUGCACACCGCGUUCAAACCGGUACUUUCAAUGAAACGUCCGUCGAUUUUGAGCUUCUGUUAUCACAACGAAAUCUGACCGCGAGCUGACAUGAGGGAGAAGAAUGUGUAUUUUAUCAUUAUACUUUGGUAGACUCGGUGCAUUGUUUACUUGUAAUUCUCAUCUUUAACAAAGCAUAUAAAGCAGUGGAUGCAACUCAGAAAUGUCCAUAUACAUUUAUUUAUUUAUUUAAUAUUGCAGGUCAUCACCACCCAGGCAGGUGAAAGAAAUCUACGCCGGGGGAUUUGUGGUCUUCUUUUCAAUCUGAGUGACCUUUCAGGGAGCGUUCAUUUCUCCAGGACCGGUCAUGACCGUUACUGAUGGUGAGAGUGGCACAAGCUACCUGGCAUGGAGGAUUAAAAACUAUUCAGCAAUCUGAAGCAGGACGCAGAAGAGCAUCACACAGAGGUUGGAACAAACAUUGCGGAAUACCUCCAGGGGGUGGAGUCCAGGUCCUAUCCAUCGGUUCUGGCCCUUGGACAAGUGACGCAAAAUUCUUUACAAGCUUUUGCUGUGAUGGCUGGUCAGGUAUACCCUGAAGAUGGACUGGAGCAGUUGGUGUCUGCUUCAAGACAUUUUAUGUGUUUGAUAUCAACUACCCCAUGCAGUGUGCCUCUUCAUGGGAGUUCCUCCAGAAAGUGGUUUAUGACAUGGAGGGACCAGAAUCUAACGAAGUUAAGUUUUUAAAGACUGUCUUAAAGAAUGUGAAAGUGUUUUUAAAAAAAAUCUGAGUUCAUAAUAGUUUAUGAAAAAAAAAAAAUUUAUUUGUUACAGAUGCUUUUUCUUCUACUUGCAGAAAAAUUGCUAACUACAACUUGUUACUGCUGCUUUUUUGAGAAAGCAUUUGUCUUCUGUAUUUUAUUGGUACCCCUUUUUCGGGUUUUAUUCUAAAUAAAUAUUUGUCAUUAA